This 494-nucleotide ribosomal RNA is filed under the name uncultured bacterium. RNAcentral describes it as "bacterial SSU rRNA". It matches the Rfam family "Bacterial small subunit ribosomal RNA", at positions 903 to 1397 of the family's 1533-position model. The record is from RNAcentral.
AAAUGAAUAGACGGGGGCCCGCACAAGCGGCGGAGCAUGCGGAUUAAUUCGAUGCAACGCGAAGAACCUUACCAAGGCUUGACAUACACGUGUAACUUCCAGAGAUGGUUGCCCCUUUUAGGUGCGUGUACAGGUGGUGCAUGGUUGUCGUCAGCUCGUGUCGUGAGAUGUUGGGUUAAGUCCCGCAACGAGCGCAACCCUUGUCUCAUGUUGCCAGCACGUUAUGGUGGGGACUCAUGGGAGACUGCCGGGGUUAACUCGGAGGAAGGUGGGGAUGACGUCAAAUCAUCAUGCCCCUUAUGUCUUGGGCUUCACGCAUGCUACAAUGGCUGGUACAGAGGGUUGCGAUAUCGUAAGGUGGAGCGAAUCCCUUAAAGCCAGUCUCAGUUCGGAUUGGGGUCUGCAACUCGACCCCAUGAAGUCGGAGUCGCUAGUAAUCGCAGAUCAGCAACGCUGCGGUGAAUACGUUCCCGGGCCUUGUACACACCGCCCGU